Long non-coding RNA from Nasonia vitripennis (jewel wasp), 880 nucleotides. RefSeq lists it as uncharacterized. The record is from RefSeq and is a predicted model, not a curated record. Lineage: Eukaryota; Metazoa; Arthropoda; Insecta; Hymenoptera; Pteromalidae. The transcript is spliced from 2 exons.
AACCUGGCCUGCGUCGUCGGUUCGCAUGGCUAAAAAAGCUUAGACGUGAUUAUUAAAGUUAGACUGUUGCGCGCAAUUGUUGAUCUCUACGAGGGACUUUCGUGAUGCGCUGUGCUUCGAGCUCACGUCCGCGAACUCGGCAGCCGAAGCUUUGCCCUUGCGUGGUAACGUGGUGGCCUCGCCCAGCGACGGCAACUCGCGCGGCUUCCACACUGGUGAACCUGCAGUAGCGAAAAACAGAGGAAAAAUAGAUUCAGGCAUUAGACAGACAUGUGUUCUUGUAUACUACAAAUGAUGCAUACAGAUUGGACGUGCUGGUAAGAGAAGUCAAUGCAGUCGAUAAGGUAGAUCCCGAUAAAAUAUUAUAAAUAAUGUUGCCCUUACUUAAUGAAGUCAUACCUGGUUGAUGGUAUGCUCAUGUUGCGCACUGAUUCUCGGAUGAUCUGGCGUAUCGUCUUAAGGAAGGAGUUGCGGAAUUCGCUAGUGCUGUUAGAGAGUACGUAGACCUUCUCGGAGCGGCGUUGCAGCUGGCUGCGCAGAUGGAUCAGCUCCCAAAGGAAAUGCGACUCCAUAUCCUUGGCUGAGCUUGAGCGCACCUGAACCUCAGUCACGGGAAUAAGCACCUGGUAGCGGAUUAUCUCAACGUCGCCCGCAUUUGUCUUUGGUAGAUUGGCCUUCGAUGAGCCGCCCUAUAAAUAGUAAAUUGUAUUUUUUUUCGAUGUGAAAUUUUAUUGUUACAAAGAUAGAUUGGUCAAAGUGUUGAUUAUAAUCGUAAAUUUGUCAGCGGAAUAUGCUUAUAAAUCAAAUUUGACUUUCAAGCGGUUCAAAAACAGAUCUAAUGUCGGUUUUUAUAGGUAAAUAAAUUAUUUUAGUUGCAGAA